Molecule: ribosomal RNA, 617 nt
Filed under: uncultured Entoloma
Lineage: Eukaryota; Fungi; Basidiomycota; Agaricomycetes; Agaricales; Entolomataceae
Description: eukaryotic LSU rRNA
Rfam family: 5.8S ribosomal RNA (bases 241-394)
Source: RNAcentral
GAUCAUUAUUGAAUAAACUUGGUUGGGUUGUUGCUGGUUCUUCGGGACAUGUGCACACCUGGCAAAUGUUUUUAACCACCUGUGCACCUUUUGUAGAUCUGAAAUAACUUUUGAGGAAACUCAGUUUGAGGAUUGCUGUGUGAAAACCAGCUUUCCUUGCAUUUCAGGUCUAUGUUUUAUAUACUCCAUAAGCAAGUAAUAGAAUGUUAUUAUUGGCCUUUGAGCCUUUAAACUAAAUACAACUUUCAACAACGGAUCUCUUGGCUCUCGCAUCGAUGAAGAACGCAGCGAAAUGCGAUAAGUAAUGUGAAUUGCAGAAUUCAGUGAAUCAUCGAAUCUUUGAACGCACCUUGCGCUCCUUGGUAUUCCGAGGAGCAUGCCUGUUUGAGUGUCAUGAAAUUCUCAACCUUUCUGGUUUUUAUUAACUAGUCUGGCUUGGAUUGUGGGGGUUGCUGGCUUCUAAGAAGUCAGCUCUCCUUAAAUGUAUUAGCAAAAUCUUUGCUGACCAUCCUUUGGUGUGAUAAUUAUCUACGCCAUUGAGAAUCAGCUUUUAUAGAUUUAGCUUCUAACUGUUCAUUUUGAACAAUUUAUGACAAUUUGACCUCAAAUCAGGUAGA